Symphalangus syndactylus (siamang) is the source of this 2257-nucleotide long non-coding RNA. RefSeq lists it as uncharacterized. NCBI's taxonomy places the organism in Eukaryota, Metazoa, Chordata, Mammalia, Primates, Hylobatidae. The record is from RefSeq and is a predicted model, not a curated record.
GCAACCACCGCGACUGCCACACAAACCCCAGUCCACGCAUCGCAGAACCUGUUUAAAGGAGCCGCAGCCGGACUUUGAACAGCAAAGCAGGAGUCCGCCUGGGAAAUGCGCAUGGGCGAGGCGCGUGCCCUUUCUGCUGUCAUAGUGACUCCAACGGUUGGCUAAGGACGACUCCUUGAACCUUAUCAAAGGAGGAGCCCUUCGGGGCAGUGCGUCCGUGUUGAGGCUCCAGCCUGACCAAUCCAGGGGGGUCGAAAAAACAGUUUCAGGACACCACGAUACACGGAGGGCUGACCAGGAUGCAGAAAAAGCAGAGGGAGUCCUGAGAAAGCAGCGCAGCAUCUCAGCCUCAGGCCUGCAUGGACGGCGUUCGGGAGGGGAGCAGACCGACGUGAAAGGAGAUGGUUCUAUCUCCUCGUGGCUCUUGUCUGAGAAACAAAGCCACACCACAAAAUCUAAAAGAAGAAGCUAAGAACAGGACAUGGCAUGAUUCUUCUCAAUGGAACCCUAGCCUCUCAGGAGAAGACACCCGUUUGCCUCUCCUGCCCUUAUGCCUGUGGCGGUGGUUUGCAGGUGUUCUUUGAUUUUCCCCGACAUUGAUGGAAAUGUCACAUUUGCCCCCCUUCCAAGGGGCACAUGCCUGGACACCAUUGUUGGUGUUGCCAUGGCUCCAUAUGCCUCCGGUGACACACAUUCACAGCAUCUGCUACGGGAUACGCCAGGGCCACGCGUGAUCGCAUUGUCUCCACCUCAGAUUCGCCCCGUCCCUGUCUGCACGUGUCCUGGAAAGAGGUGUCGGCUUGCAGGAGCCCCAGGGCUUUUAGAAGCCCUGCAGGCCACUGCUCUUUCAAAGGAGGAGGGAGGCAGAGGGCUCACCGAUCAGUGAAUUUUCAGCUGACAACACUCCUCGAGGGCCAUGGGAUCAUUCUAUGCUGCGGUGAGGCCCUGCCUGAAUCACCAGACACGGUGAGCCCAACCUUUCUCACCCUGAGGGGACCAAAAUCAGAUCUGAAGAGGAGUCCUCAGAACCCAGUAGGCGCCCUGAGGCUCCCACACCAUCGGUGGAACUCUGCUCAAGGAGGUCCUGAAGACGGGAAUCCUGGGGGUGGGAGAGGGCUCCCACGCGGCCCCAAACUGGACCCAGGAUCCAGCCACAGCCGCGACUACAGCAGCAGCCCAGGGUGCCGCCGCACAGCCGCCAUUAUUUACAGAGGACGCAGCCUGACUGCCAGGAGCAGAGCGCCGGGCGGCCCAGCCAAUGCGCAUGCGCAAAUCGAGAGCCCAUUCUCCAGUCACAGUGGUUCCCACGGUUGUCAUAGAAACCAGUCCCUGAGGCUGGGCAACGCAGCAGUCCUCCGCGGCAGCGCUUGGUUGUCCAGCCUCCGAGGCUCCAGCCUGACCUCUCCACGGGGUCCACAGGGCGGAUUGCCCUAGAAUCCUAGAAUCAGCGCUGGGCGACCGUGACUGUCCUUGUCUUCUAGGACAGGAACGUCUCCAGCUGCCAGGAGUGGCAAAGGCCCGACCAGGAUGACGAAACCACAGGCGGAGUUCGGGUGAAGCAGCGUGGCAUCCCAGCCUCCGGCCUGCCCGGACGGUGUUCGGGAUCAAGUGGACCACACUCCAGCCGAGGACAAAAGCCCCACAGGAGCACAUUGUCUGGCAGGAGAGGAGCGGACCCAAGUCCAAGAAGAUGGUUGUACCUUUCCGCGGCUCUUCUCUGUGAAAUGAAGCCACACCAUGAUACAAUCUUGAAGAGGAAGUCGGGAAUGGGAGACGGCAACAAUCCCUGUCCCUGGAAGGCUAGCUUCCCUGGACAAGCCCCCGUUUCGCACACCCUGCCUUAUGCCCCUGGCGAUGGCACGGCGCUGUACCCUGCCUGGGCUCUGGCCUCUGCUCUCUACUGCCUCUUGCUCUGUCUCCGCUGUUUCUGAGGGGCCUAGAUGCCUCUUGGUCAGGCUGCAUAUCUUCUACGAAGAUUGACUUCCCAGUCCAUCCGGGAGACACUUCAUGGAGAUCCCUGUCAUGACUCUUUCUCUCUAAACUGUUUCUCUCCAAACCUGUUUCUGCUGGAUAGGGCAGGAGAGGUGCUGUCGCAUUUCCUCUGUACUUCCUGUUUCACUCUUGAGGGACAUCCUCUCCUCUGCUCAUAGGCGGACUGACUCCCUGAAUCUUCUGGCUGUAAGGAAUGUCAGGAAACAAAAGGUACUGCGCCGGACUGCGGCUGGGGUCGCGUGCAGGGGAGGAUGCCUCAGGGCUA